Arvicola amphibius (Eurasian water vole) is the source of this 1030-nucleotide long non-coding RNA. RefSeq lists it as uncharacterized. The transcript has 3 exons. Lineage: Eukaryota; Metazoa; Chordata; Mammalia; Rodentia; Cricetidae. The record is from RefSeq and is a predicted model, not a curated record.
GUUUGGGGCAGUCUGGUGUCUGCAAUGUCUGAGAAUACACUUUCGGCAUCAAGUCCCACAGCAGCUGCUUAUCUUGAAACCCAGUCAAAGGGAAACCUGUACCAGCAGAGCACUGAACAAGACGAAACAUCCCAUUUUUCCACCAAUGACUUCCACUACAUGUAUGAGCCACACCGUGGAAUUGUGUCAGGGAUGAAGAACAACUGCAGGCCAUGGGAUCUUUACAAGAGAUAAUCUGGGUGGAGAUCUGCUGUGGAAUUCUAUUUUAACUGGGCAAAGAUGUAUCACAUUUGUUUAUGCUGCAGAAUAUCACUCUAUGUGAAGCAUCAGUGAAACUCCGAAAAACCGUACCCCCGGCAAGCAUUGUCUUAUAGAAACACUAUGCACGUGGAGUGGCUGAAGGGGUCUCUUGAGAAACACUUCUUCGCCUUUACCUUGGAGCAAGAGAGAGCACACGGGACAGGGUGUGGCCUCACAUCGCUUUCACGGGGUCUGUAUGAAUUGUGUGGGCAGACACACGAGGAAUCAACGUCGUUUCACUGAAACACUGCUGAAGAACUAAGGAGCAAAAUUAAUAUUUCACAAAAGGUAGAAGAAAAGUUCUAAUUUGUCUACUGUCAAUCGGUAAAGUUUCUCUGAUGUUUGGUUUUGAUACAAUUUCAGUACUUUCAUCUCGUAAGAACUCAGUGUCGAGGCUUCCUCUGACCGCGUACUCGCCCAAGGCUUUUGUCUAAUUACACAUAGUGAACUACCCUGUAGUUCUCGCGCUGACACUCGGAGCCAGAGAAACAGAACAGAAUAGCUGCUGGCAAAGCCCGGCAAUUAAUUUUCUAAAUAAAAUGAGAAAAUACAAAUUAAAAAAGUACAUAAAACGAACCCAGGUUUUUUCUGACUAAAGCUCUUAUACAAGUUUCAUGAUUUUUAACUUUUGAAAUACUUAUUUGUUUUUAUUCUGUGUUUUUCCUUGUUUCUUUAAGAAUUGCGGUACAGUUUUAAAUCAUAGGAUUAUAGGCUUUUGAACAGAACUUAA